Ceratobasidium sp. 394 is the source of this 105-nucleotide non-coding RNA. NCBI's taxonomy places the organism in Eukaryota, Fungi, Basidiomycota, Agaricomycetes, Cantharellales, Ceratobasidiaceae. The record is from the annotation of a GenBank genome assembly.
GCCUUUAUAGCUCAGUGGUAGAGCGCAUCACUCGUAAUCAGCUUAUGCAAUUAUUACGUAAGCUUACUAAUGAUGAGGUCCAUUGUUCGAAUCAGUGUGGAGGCA